UACGUAGGGCGCGAGCGUUGUCCGGAAUUAUUGGGCGUAAAGAGCUCGUAGGCGGCUUGUUGCGUCGGAUGUGAAAGCCCGGGGCUUAACUCCGGGUCUGCAUUCGAUACGGGCAGGCUAGAGUUCGGUAGGGGAGAUCGGAAUUCCUGGUGUAGCGGUGAAAUGCGCAGAUAUCAGGAGGAACACCCGUGGCGAAAGCGGCUCUCUGGGCAGUAACUGACGCUGAGGAGCGAAAGCGUGGGGAGCGAACAGG
This 253-nucleotide ribosomal RNA is filed under the name uncultured bacterium. RNAcentral describes it as "partial 16S ribosomal RNA". It matches the Rfam family "Bacterial small subunit ribosomal RNA", at positions 524 to 776 of the family's 1533-position model. The record is from RNAcentral.